RNAcentral lists this ribosomal RNA (508 nucleotides) under uncultured bacterium. RNAcentral's name for it is "bacterial SSU rRNA". It matches the Rfam family "Bacterial small subunit ribosomal RNA", at positions 107 to 598 of the family's 1533-position model. The record is from RNAcentral.
UGAGUAACACGUAGGAAUCUGCCUUUGAGACCGGGAUAACAGUUGGAGACGAUUGCUAAUACCGGAUGAGAAUUAUAAAGAUACGUUUUUAUAAUUUAAAAGGAAGCUUUAAAGCUUCGCUUAAAGAUGAGCCUGCGGCGUAUUAGUUAGUUGGUGGGGUAACGGCCUACCAAGACGACGAUGCGUAGCCGACCUGAGAGGGUGAACGGCCACAUUGGGACUGAGACACGGCCCAAACUCCUACGGGAGACAGCAGUUAGGGAUAUUCGUCAAUGGGGGAAACCCUGAACGAGCAAUGCCGCGUGAAGGAAGGCGGUUCUAUGGAUUGUAAACUUCUGUUGUAAGGGAAGAACGACAGUAUUAGGAAAUGAAUACUGAGUGACGGUACCUUUCGAGAAAGCUCCGGCUAACUACGUGCCAGCAGCCGCGGUAAUACGUAGGGAGCGAGCGUUAUCCGGAAUUAUUGGGUGUAAAGCGUGUGUAGGCGGGAAUGCAAGUCUAAAGUGUA